This 506-nucleotide ribosomal RNA is filed under the name uncultured bacterium. RNAcentral's name for it is "bacterial SSU rRNA". It matches the Rfam family "Bacterial small subunit ribosomal RNA", at positions 19 to 518 of the family's 1533-position model. The record is from RNAcentral.
AUGGCUCAGGAUGAACGCUAGCGGCAGGCUUAACACAUGCAAGUCGAGGGGCAGCAGGCCGUAGCAAUACGGUGCUGGCGACCGGCGCAAGGGUGCGUAACGCGUGAGCAACUUGCCCGCAACAGGAGGAUAACCGGAGGAAACUCCGACUAAUACUGCGUAGCAACAGGAUACGGCAUCGUAAUCUGUUUAAAGACGGAAGCGGUUGCGGAUAGGCUCGCGUGACAUUAGGUAGACGGCGGGGUAACGGCCCACCGUGCCGACGAUGUCUAGGGGUUCUGAGAGGAAGGUCCCCCACACUGGUACUGAGACACGGACCAGACUCCUACGGGAGGCAGCAGUGAGGAAUAUUGGACAAUGGUCGGAAGACUGAUCCAGCCAUGCCGCGUGAAGGCUAAGGUCCUAUGGAUUGUAAACUUCUUUUGUACGAGAGGAAUAAGGCCCACGAGUGGACCGAGGACAGUAUCGUACGAAUAAGCAUCGGCUAACUCCGUGCCAGCCGCAGC